Molecule: transfer RNA, 88 nt
Filed under: Methylobacterium radiotolerans
Lineage: Bacteria; Pseudomonadati; Pseudomonadota; Alphaproteobacteria; Hyphomicrobiales; Methylobacteriaceae
Description: tRNA-Arg
Source: RNAcentral
CCGGCCGCCGGCCAGCGGGAUGAUGACCCGCUCCUGCCGGAUCGUGGUCUCGCAGAGACCCUGGCAGAUCGGCACCGUCAGGUCGGUC